CAGUAGCCGCGGGAAUACGUAGGGUGCGAGCGUUAAUCGGAAUUACUGGGCGUAAAGCGUGCGCAGGCGGUUAUAUAAGACAGAUGUGAAAUCCCCGGGCUCAACCUGGGACCUGCAUUUGUGACUGUAUAGCUAGAGUACGGUAGAGGGGGAUGGAAUUCCGCGUGUAGCAGUGAAAUGCGUAGAUAUGCGGAGGAACACCGAUGGCGAAGGCAAUCCCCUGGACCUGUACUGACGCUCAUGCACGAAAGCGUGGGGAGCAAGCAGGAUUAGAUACCCCAGUAGUCCCUGUCUCUUAUAC
Molecule: ribosomal RNA, 301 nt
Filed under: uncultured bacterium
Lineage: Bacteria
Description: partial 16S ribosomal RNA
Rfam family: Bacterial small subunit ribosomal RNA
Source: RNAcentral